GAGAAUCUUCUGUCAUGGAGGAAAUCUGUAGAGUCUCAGACAGUAAUGAAGAAGAGGAGAGAAUUUGGAAUUUGGAGGAAUGAUAGAAAGACGAAGUAUAGUUGUGACCAGAGACCGUAGGUCCUAACAACGGUGAGGGAAGAAGUAAACCAAGAGAAGAAGAAAAGUAUAUUGUCUGAGACCACGCUGCUUUCGGUGAGAGGGCCACAGUUCAAACCCAUGUCUACUGCCACUAAAAACCGCCAUUAAGCUGCCUCUCUUCACAGUGAGGAGUGAAUAGGGUGGAUAUACAAACAUUGUGUAAUACAGACAAUGUCAAAACUCCAUGAACUAUAGCCCAAGUUUUCAUUGUACUUACUGAACAAUACAGGGGCUCUGGGGGCCAGAAUAAACCCGUAAAGUGCCCAUGAAUUUUAACCAAAGACUUCCAGCCCUACAUGAUUAAAAGCUUUAAAUUCUCAAAGAGCAACAUGAUUAAUCCAGUACCACAGUGCUGAGUGGCUUCACACUGGCUUCAUUUGUUGAAUGCAAGCCCAAGAGAUGCCUAUGAAGAUGGAUUCACACACCUGCGGCGGCUACCGGGACGGCGGACAUAAACGCUCCUUUUAGUUCAUUUUAUGUUUAGUAGAAAUGAAGGCAGAUGGUGUAGAUGGGUUUCUAUUCUGGUUUGUUUCCUAACCUGGCUAUUUUUAACAAUUUCUAGGACCCUAAACUUUUUCUUGAUGGGUCAUCCCAGCGCUAAAAAUUAAACAGUACCUGCAACAGCUUCUAGCCCAACUCCAAAGUGGAGAAAAUCCAUUUUGUGUCUUCUGUUUGACAUGGCUUCAGGUGAACUACUGGUAGAAAACUAAAGAUGACAUGCUGAACAAUCUAUUUGUGCUCUAAUUCUAUAACAUGUCGCUACUACCGAGUUAGAAAUAUAAUAAUAUUUCUGCUACGUGCUGUGAUUCAUCUCUGAGAGAAAAGAGAGAUAGGGCCACCGACAUGUGUCUCUGAUAUCAGUGCUAAGUCAUUUCAAACAUAAAGUGGGCUUCAAGGUAUUUUUGAAUGGGUCAGCCAAUUGAGGCUUUGCUUAUCACCUUAACAUGUAAUUUCCUGCAUCCUAACAAUGGGGAAUCACAUGAGAAAUAAUGAACUUUAGGUAUUUCUUCCUAUCCGCCCCACCGUCCCCGUGGUUCAGCUGCAGACAUUGAAGUUCCAUGGGCCAUAGUUAUCCAACGGCACAGCUUUCAAAGCUGAAAUUCAUGUCAUAGGACUUUGAGAAUGACCAAAACUUCAAAUGGAAAGAUCACUUCCUCUUCAUCAGUGUGUAAAUACCCUACAUCUUUCUUGUGUUUUUAUUCUUUGGUGGGAACUGGGGAUGAGCUGCAACUUUUAAGACUAUUUCACUUGAACAGCCUUAAAUAUUAACUUGUGGCUGCUCGCUAUUGAACAACCACAGAGAAAUAACCAAAGAUUAAUAAACGUUGCUCAAUUUCAUGGUUGUUGUUCUUGGGCAAGUCCUUCCUCACAGUAUUUGGAGUGUACACAGCAGCUGCAAGCUUAAAAUGAAAGGUUUUUCAACUUCACCUCUUAGCCUCUGUAAUAUUUCAGCUAAGCCUGCCUGAGGACUUCCUCCCUUUCUUUGAUGGAAAUAAUAAACUACGAUGAGUUUGCAAUAACAGCUCUCAUUCCCACCACCGUCUUCUUUCUAAAAAGUGGAACAAUAGCUCCUUAUAUUGCUGAGAACAAGACCCUCCAGAACAGUGGAGUUCAGAAUGCGGAGCUGGAAUGGAGCUUUCUUCACACAAAGUGCCACAAAGGUCACGGAAACACAUCUUCACAUUGAGUUGCCAUGGAUGCCUUAUGAUGCUGUAGUGACACUCCUCUCUUUCAGCGAGUGGUGAUGUACACUCUAAUUAACAUGUCAGAAAGCAAAGCCACUGGGCCACAAGAUCAUCCUAGUGCCUUAGAAGUUCCCUGUGCCCACUGAUCCCUCCACACUUGAUUAUUCGACUGGAAAAAAGAUAAUAUUCAUUUUUUGCCUUUUCUUUUUCAUUUUUAUACCUACUCUAUCAAUUUAGAGUGAAAAUAUCUCUGAAGGAAAGAUACCACUUGCUCCAAAACCAGGUCCAGAGAGGACGGGUCAGUUUUUAGUGCAAAAAUGAGACUUCUUAGGCACAUGAAUUUCACAAGUCACUUCCUCCCUCAUAUGCCUGCCAGGCCAGCGAGGCCUACAAAUCUGUGCUAUGAAGUGGCGACUGGACCACCAGGAUACAGGUGUAAACAGCCAUACUGGGAGCUACGUCAGGGCUGAAAGGUCUCAGUAUGCAGGCACAUCAUCCCUGAAGUGCAAGGUCGCUAAGCAGAAGUUCAGGGUUGAUGGCCACUAUUGGCUUUUUACUUACAGAUAAAUGAUGCAAGUUUUCAGGUAUAAACCAAGCCUGGGCAGAAAAAUGUCACCUAGAGUCAUCAGUUCUGGGCUACAGAGAGCCAUCAAUCCGAAGAGAUGCCUGGGAGUUUCCUCCUACAUGCGAACUCCAGUGCCAUGGAGAUGGAGGAGUGCUAUCUUCAGCCAAUGACUCUGCAGUGUCCAGCUCUCCUCCUUGAAGAGAUCGAUGUGGAGGUGGCAGGAGUGAGCAGAUGGACUGCCGCGGUCCGGGGGAAUCUGGAUGUAAACUCUUCAGGCGUUGGAGUAUUCCUGCGAGCAAGUGGGCACGCUCAGUUUAUCUACACUGUCUGCUGGGUCUUCACAGUGCUAGGAAGCGAGCUGUCAGGACUCAGUGUUUUGGGGAACUCUGGAGAAAUUGGGGUUAGGGGAACCUGCUUACUUCUUGUAGAAGUGCCAAUCACUGCAUCUCUCGAUGCCUUGAAUCUACUCUGCAAGCCCAUCAUUACACAGAGGUUAUGUCUGUGAAUUCAGGUUGUCAUCCAAGAUAAGCUGUGUGGCUUUUGGUGCUACAUUCCUCUUUAUAGGAUGUAUCUAUAUGUAAAACAUACAGCAAAAAUCUUAGGGAUGGUCUAGCUCCUUUUUUUUUUUCCAGAGAAAACAGCUAAUAAUAUUGACCUGAAUAAACGUAAAAGAGAAGACACAUCCUACUAAGUACUUAUAAUUCCCAACCUCCCCAAAAGAUAAAUGGACCUGCUUUUUUUUAUUCUGAGACCGUGAAGGCAUGUAUAUUCAGAAAAGGUAGUUACCUUUUAUUUAUUAGGUCAUUUAGAAAAACAAAAGCCUCACCAUUCUUGGCUAUGAAGAGGGUGUGAGUGUGUAUAGGAUUAUCUAUGAAGAGCUGUGGCUUCAGCAGGGUGAAAAUAUCAGGAGAUAAUGGUUUCUUUAGACAUAGUACCUAUUUCAAAGAGAAAUGGAUGGGAAAUCAGUUAUAGCCUAGCUGCUGAAAAUCCAGGAUUGAAAUCUCAAGCCUUGAGAGGUUAUAAUAUAUCAUAAGGAAAGGUGAGGUACAUGUAACAUUUCAAUCCUUGGCUCUCGGGGCAGGAUAGGGGAAGAGAAAUGGGAAAGAGCUUGCCCAUCCCACUGCCUUAUUUCAAUCACUAAAUCAAAUGGGAAGGAGUUACAGGAAUGUUUCUGAGAAGACCAAAUUUCAAAUAUGAUUGUGCUAAUAUUUUGGGAUAAAUAAUCAUGACAUUUAAGAAUGUCUUCCUUCUGGCUGCUGGGUAGUAUGGUCAAUCAUCUUGGAUAUUAAGAAACAAAAUUACAACACUGUAAAAUAUUUUUCAACAGGCAAUAAGAGGAAAUCAGAAUACACACCUGGCCCAUUUAAGCCACAGACCAUUACUUCCAGAACGCUAUGUAUCAUCACAUAGAGUAGAGAAGAAAAGCUGUAGACUGGCCUGCCUCAACACUGUUAUGUAUUCAUUGUUGCAAUUAUGCUACAGCUUUGGCUCUGGGGUAAAGAGCAGUGAAAAGGAUCAAGUUCAACGACAUUCCUGCAUUUUUCAAACUAGUGUCAUAGACUCAUGGGAUCACCGUGGACUAGUAUUUUUACUCCAUGCCUUUCUCCCACUUAGAAAGAAAUGUGCUGAGUGCCUGUUGUGGGCCAGGCAUCUGCAAGACACAGGAGAUACGCAGUGAAUAAGCAAGUCAUUUCUUAAUCACGAUUAUGCUGCAGGAGGAGGAGGAGGAGAGGAGCUCCUUCUUAGCAGAUGGGCUACGUUGACUGAACUUCGCCGUGAAGCACUGUUGUCCCAUUUCAUCUGCCUGUCACUAGGAUUUUUGAGAUGAUGUGAAAAAGUUGAAUUCCAUCGGACACAUUCAAAAUCCUUGCUGAUUUGUUGACAUUCCCAGUUGUCCAGGUGGCAACAGCGACAUAUUCCAAGGCACAUUUGUCACAAGAGCCCGCUGCACGAGGGCCGAGCAAACAGAGGGGGACCCCGGGCAGCUUGUGGGGCCAAGAAAAGGGCUUUUGCGGUUUUGAAAUAAAGCAACUCAGCAAUCUACAAAUAUCCCUUGAUAGGCAGGUGGCUUCGGUGUCCCCUACCUUGCUCAGGUUGGUGCUACCUCUUAAGAAACCGAGGGACCAGGUGAGGACGAGUUGAGCAGACUUCUUACUGCAGGUGGGCCCUAGGUCCUGGAGUGUGGCACCUGGUGACAGGCUCCUGCCUCCAACCGCAGUGAACACUGAAUCCGUAAGACUCCAGCUGACCCUGCUCUGUCUCCAAGCAGAUGCUCCGAAGUGCACACACACACACACACACACACACACACACACAAUGCCGUUUCCUAAUUGAAUCUAAAAUGUAAGUGCUUUGCUGUUUAAAAGGACCUUGCUAUCUUGAUAAGAAAAACUAAUGAGAUGCCCUUUCCAGAGCCGGUCACACAAUAGCCCUAGUGACAAGGACCCCUAUCAAGAAAUAAAGCAGAAGAUAAAUGAGAUUUUUCUAAUAUCCAUUUCACCCAUUGUUCACAAGUGUCAGGCAGUACGGAUUCUAUUUAUCAUGGGGUAGGAGAGAGGAGACGUGCUUUUGUAAAGCAAGCCUAAAUUGUGGCAUCGCAUUUUCGGCCAUGGGUAAACCUCUUUUGUCACCUGGUAGAAAACAAAAGCAAGGCUUGGGAUUGCAGGGCAGAGACUGGAAGGUGUCCACAUUUCUGCAUUUUUUACCUCAGGGCUGCCAAUGCACAAGAAGUGAUCAUUUGGAAGACAGGGGAGAAAGAGAUUAUUUCUGACUCUGGACUAUAGGAGUCUACUACUUGUAACCCAUUAAAUUGUCACUGUGUCAAAUGUUCAAAAUGCAAAUGGAGACUAGGAAGUUGUCCCUUAAGACGGAUGCAACUUAGAUUGUUCAGAAGCUACAUUAAGACAAAAAGGUAGAUACAGAAGUUCAAUUUCAGGUCUAGGAGAAGGUUGGGUAUGUUUAUAGGAGCUCCCGGUGCUCUUCUCUCUAGAAUAGGGACUCCACAGGGUUCAAUACCUAUGUUGUUCCGUAAGAUGCAUGAUUAAUAAACGAGAGCCCUGGACAAAAUUAUCCGGUAGAAACCAAGGAAAGAUUUAAAUCUCUGUGGUCCGACUUUGCACAAAUUUGCAUUUAUAAGAAUGACAUAACUGUCAGUAAUCUGACCCUGCAAAGGGCCCACGCAAGUGAGAUGCUGAAAGGCUCAUAUGUCCUGUGCUGUUCAGCAUUACAGUGAAGGAAGCCCUGUGAUGGUUAAAACAUUUUUUAAUAUUUUACAUUUCAAGAGAGAAUUUCCUAAUCUGCAGACUCAGAGGGCUGUGGCGGCUCCAAUUCUCACAACUGCUGUUUACUGCGGAUGCAGAUGAGGAAUGUCCUUGUUCUUUGAGAGGGGGAGCGGCAGCGGGGCUGGCUGAGAGGCAAUCCACGUGGAGUGACAGGCCUGCUGGGGGUCUGGGGAUCUCAACACGCACCCCUUCCCUGGCUUCCGGGGUCUAAGCAGAGAGGGCGGGCCUCCACCUGCACCCCUGCUGGACCCACUGGGAAAAAGGAUGAUUUUGAGCCAAUGUUAAUUUACUCUUCUGGGAACUUUUACUCUUCCCUUUGCUAUUUUUAGAGGAAGUCUGCAUUUUUAAAAUAAGCAUUUCUUCUCCAAGAUUCUCACAUAUUUUCAUAUUAUGAGUGCCCUCUAACACUGUAGAGAUAAGCAUAGGGGGAGGGGGACAACACAAAUGCUAUCUUCUAACAGAUUUUCCUUUUCAAAAGAGCUAAAGAAAAUGCACAAAGGAUUCAUUUGCAUUUCAAUAAACACUUUCUCUCUCUAGUUGUUUCUGCGCUAGAAAGA
Canis lupus familiaris (dog) is the source of this 6229-nucleotide long non-coding RNA. RefSeq lists it as uncharacterized. The record is from RefSeq and is a predicted model, not a curated record. Lineage: Eukaryota; Metazoa; Chordata; Mammalia; Carnivora; Canidae. The transcript has 10 exons.